Echinostoma caproni is the source of this 45-nucleotide non-coding RNA. The record is from Rfam. NCBI's taxonomy places the organism in Eukaryota, Metazoa, Platyhelminthes, Trematoda, Plagiorchiida, Echinostomatidae.
GCACUGCUGACGAGUCCUAAACUGUACGAAACAGCUGUCCAGUGC